GAAAAUUCCACUCCCUGCUUAUUCGGAGCUGAAAAUAACGAGACUCGGCUGCCGAGGGGAAGGAUCUGAGACCAGAAAUGGCGUUGGAGCCUCUGCCUUUCCAGGAAGCGGAUCGCUGUGACGUCUGUAAAUGCAGCUUCAGCGCUUUCCGGCGAAGGCAUCAUUGCCGUCGUUGUGGAAGGACAUUAUGCCACGAACAUUCGUCAAAUCAAAUGGCUCUACCUCAAUUUGGAAUCUACUCCUGUGUUAGAGUUUGCGCUGAUUGUUUUAAUGAUUCUACUUGGUCAGGAAAUGUUGAUCCACAGGCUUCCUCAGAUGCGGUUAAUUCUGUAACAGAUAAAGUUUCUAUAUUAGACAUUGGUACAGAAACAAAUUCCAAAACAG
Molecule: unclassified non-coding RNA, 384 nt
Filed under: Hevea brasiliensis (rubber tree)
Lineage: Eukaryota; Viridiplantae; Streptophyta; Magnoliopsida; Malpighiales; Euphorbiaceae
Source: RNAcentral